This 1599-nucleotide ribosomal RNA is filed under the name Salmonella enterica. RNAcentral's name for it is "partial 23S ribosomal RNA". It matches the Rfam family "Bacterial large subunit ribosomal RNA", at positions 1163 to 2718 of the family's 2925-position model. The record is from RNAcentral. Lineage: Bacteria; Pseudomonadati; Pseudomonadota; Gammaproteobacteria; Enterobacterales; Enterobacteriaceae.
CAAGACAACUUUACGGAGUUGACGAUUGACGGAGCGAAGCGACGUCAAAGCGUUCAUUAAAGUCGAGUUGGCUUAGGGAUACGUUCGUUGGGUAGGGGAGCGUUCUGUAAGCCUGUGAAGGUGUGUCGUGAGGCAUGCUGGAGGUAUCAGAAGUGCGAAUGCUGACAUAAGUAACGAUAAAGCGGGUGAAAAGCCCGCUCGCCGGAAGACCAAGGGUUCCUGUCCAACGUUAAUCGGGGCAGGGUGAGUCGACCCCUAAGGCGAGGCCGAAAGGCGUAGUCGAUGGGAAACGGGUUAAUAUUCCCGUACUUGGUGUUACUGCGAAGGGGGGACGGAGAAGGCUAUGUUGGCCGGGCGACGGUUGUCCCGGUUUAAGCGUGUAGGUGUGUGUUCCAGGUAAAUCCGGUUCACUUUAACACUGAGGCGUGACGACGAGGCACUACGGUGCUGAAGCAACAAAUGCCCUGCUUCCAGGAAAAGCCUCUAAGCAUCAGGUAACACGAAAUCGUACCCCAAACCGACACAGGUGGUCAGGUAGAGAAUACCAAGGCGCUUGAGAGAACUCGGGUGAAGGAACUAGGCAAAAUGGUGCCGUAACUUCGGGAGAAGGCACGCUGACACGUAGGUGAAGUGAUUUACUCAUGGAGCUGAAGUCAGUCGAAGAUACCAGCUGGCUGCAACUGUUUAUUAAAAACACAGCACUGUGCAAACACGAAAGUGGACGUAUACGGUGUGACGCCUGCCCGGUGCCGGAAGGUUAAUUGAUGGGGUCAGCGCAAGCGAAGCUCCUGAUCGAAGCCCCGGUAAACGGCGGCCGUAACUAUAACGGUCCUAAGGUAGCGAAAUUCCUUGUCGGGUAAGUUCCGACCUGCACGAAUGGCGUAAUGAUGGCCAGGCUGUCUCCACCCGAGACUCAGUGAAAUUGAACUCGCUGUGAAGAUGCAGUGUACCCGCGGCAAGACGGAAAGACCCCGUGAACCUUUACUAUAGCUUGACACUGAACAUUGAGCCUUGAUGUGUAGGAUAGGUGGGAGGCUUUGAAGUGUGGACGCCAGUCUGCAUGGAGCCGACCUUGAAAUACCACCCUUUAAUGUUUGAUGUUCUAACGUGGACCCGUAAUCCGGGUUGCGGACAGUGUCUGGUGGGUAGUUUGACUGGGGCGGUCUCCUCCUAAAGAGUAACGGAGGAGCACGAAGGUUGGCUAAUCCUGGUCGGACAUCAGGAGGUUAGUGCAAUGGCAUAAGCCAGCUUGACUGCGAGCGUGACGGCGCGAGCAGGUGCGAAAGCAGGUCAUAGUGAUCCGGUGGUUCUGAAUGGAAGGGCCAUCGCUCAACGGAUAAAAGGUACUCCGGGGAUAACAGGCUGAUACCGCCCAAGAGUUCAUAUCGACGGCGGUGUUUGGCACCUCGAUGUCGGCUCAUCACAUCCUGGGGCUGAAGUAGGUCCCAAGGGUAUGGCUGUUCGCCAUUUAAAGUGGUACGCGAGCUGGGUUUAGAACGUCGUGAGACAGUUCGGUCCCUAUCUGCCGUGGGCGCUGGAGAACUGAGGGGGGCUGCUCCUAGUACGAGAGGACCGGAGUGGACGCAUCACUGGUGUUCG